RNAcentral lists this ribosomal RNA (788 nucleotides) under Brevibacterium sp. Y646. RNAcentral's name for it is "bacterial SSU rRNA". It matches the Rfam family "Bacterial small subunit ribosomal RNA", at positions 67 to 863 of the family's 1533-position model. Lineage: Bacteria; Bacillati; Actinomycetota; Actinomycetes; Micrococcales; Brevibacteriaceae. The record is from RNAcentral.
CUGAAGGCCUGGUGCUUGCACCGGGUGGAUGAGUGGCGAACGGGUGAGUAACACGUGAGUAACCUGCCCCUGACUUCGGGAUAAGCCCGGGAAACUGGGUCUAAUACCGGAUACGACUGCCGGACGCAUGUCUGGUGGUGGAAAGUUUUUUCGGUUGGGGAUGGGCUCGCGGCCUAUCAGUUUGUUGGUGAGGUAAUGGCUCACCAAGACGACGACGGGUAGCCGGCCUGAGAGGGCGACCGGCCACACUGGGACUGAGACACGGCCCAGACUCCUACGGGAGGCAGCAGUGGGGAAUAUUGCACAAUGGGGGAAACCCUGAUGCAGCGACGCAGCGUGCGGGAUGACGGCCUUCGGGUUGUAAACCGCUUUCAGCAGGGAAGAAGCGCAAGUGACGGUACCUGCAGAAGAAGUACCGGCUAACUACGUGCCAGCAGCCGCGGUAAUACGUAGGGUACGAGCGUUGUCCGGAAUUAUUGGGCGUAAAGAGCUCGUAGGUGGUUGGUCACGUCUGCUGUGGAAACGCAACGCUUAACGUUGCGCGUGCAGUGGGUACGGGCUGACUAGAGUGCAGUAGGGGAGUCUGGAAUUCCUGGUGUAGCGGUGAAAUGCGCAGAUAUCAGGAGGAACACCGGUGGCGAAGGCGGGACUCUGGGCUGUAACUGACACUGAGGAGCGAAAGCAUGGGGAGCGAACAGGAUUAGAUACCCUGGUAGUCCAUGCCGUAAACGUUGGGCACUAGGUGUGGGGGGCAUUCCACGUUCUCCGCGCCGUAGCUAACGCAUUAA